GGCAGGAUGGCCGAGUGGUCUAAGGCGCAGCGUUAAGGCCGCUGUCCGAAAGGGCGUGGGUUCGAACCCCACUCCUGUCA
This 80-nucleotide transfer RNA is filed under the name Babesia microti strain RI. It matches the Rfam family "tRNA". Rfam says of the family: Transfer RNA (tRNA) molecules are approximately 80 nucleotides in length. The record is from Rfam by way of RNAcentral. Lineage: Eukaryota; Apicomplexa; Aconoidasida; Piroplasmida; Babesiidae.